AUGAGAAAUGGGGUAACUUAUCGUAGACAUACAGAAAUGAAAAUAAAGCUAUGCACAGAGAAAAGUACUAUGAUCCAUCCAUCAUUGUUGGUUCACCAUUCUAAAGGAAAUAGACAAAGUGGUGCAUCUAGGAGGAAGGGAUCUAGAGACGACGAUGGACAAAACAAUCCUGCAGAGGCAGCAAGAGGCAGUUCUCGACAAAUCACUAUAAGCGCAAGGAUCCAAUGGAAGAAUUUGGUGAAGAACAAGGUCUCCAUCAUUUGGCGUCAAGGAAAGGAAGACCAUGUCAUCAUUUGGCCAGUGCAGGUCCCCAUGCCCCUGUAUCUGCCCUCGAAGCCGGGUUCCGCGAGCUAA
RNAcentral lists this ribosomal RNA (354 nucleotides) under Triticum aestivum (bread wheat). RNAcentral describes it as "partial small subunit ribosomal RNA". Lineage: Eukaryota; Viridiplantae; Streptophyta; Magnoliopsida; Poales; Poaceae. The record is from RNAcentral.